UACGAAGGGGGCUAGCGUUGCUCGGAAUCACUGGGCGUAAAGGGUGCGUAGGUGGGUCUUUAAGUCAGGGGUGAAAUCCUGGAGCUCAACUCCAGAACUGCCUUUGAUACUGAAGAUCUUGAGUUCGGGGGGGGUGAGUGGAACUGCGAGUGUAGAGGUGAAAUUCGUAGAUAUUCGCAAGAACACCAGUGGCGAAGGCGGCUCACUGGCCCGAUACUGACGCUGAGGCACGAAAGCGUGGGGAGCAAACAGG
This 253-nucleotide ribosomal RNA is filed under the name uncultured bacterium. RNAcentral describes it as "partial 16S ribosomal RNA". It matches the Rfam family "Bacterial small subunit ribosomal RNA", at positions 524 to 776 of the family's 1533-position model. The record is from RNAcentral.